Molecule: ribosomal RNA, 445 nt
Filed under: Anoxybacillus sp. EGU145
Lineage: Bacteria; Bacillati; Bacillota; Bacilli; Caryophanales; Anoxybacillaceae
Description: bacterial SSU rRNA
Rfam family: Bacterial small subunit ribosomal RNA
Source: RNAcentral
AUACAUGCAAGUCGAGCGGACGAUUCAAAAGCUUGCUUUUGGAUCGUUAGCGGCGGACGGGUGAGUAACACGUGGGCAACCUGCCCUGUAGACGGGGAUAACACCGAGAAAUCGGUGCUAAUACCGGAUAACACGAAAGGCCGCAUGGUUUUUCGUUGAAAGACGGCGCAAGCUGUCCCUACAGGAUGGGCCCGCGGCGCAUUAGCUAGUUGGUGAGGUAACGGCUCACCAAGGCGACGAUGCGUAGCCGACCUGAGAGGGUGAUCGGCCACACUGGGACUGAGACACGGCCCAGACUCCUACGGGAGGCAGCAGUAGGGAAUCUUCCGCAAUGGACGAAAAGUCUGACGGAGCAACGCCGCGUGAGCGAAGAAGGCCUUCGGGUCGUAAAGCUCUGUUGUUAGGGGAAAAAACAUUUACCGCAGUCACUGGCGGUACUUGACGG